This 468-nucleotide ribosomal RNA is filed under the name uncultured bacterium. Its description in RNAcentral is "partial 16S ribosomal RNA". It matches the Rfam family "Bacterial small subunit ribosomal RNA", at positions 28 to 507 of the family's 1533-position model. The record is from RNAcentral.
GACGAACGCUGGCGGCGUGCUUAACACAUGCAAGUCGAACGGAAAGGCCCUGCUUUUGUGGGGUGCUCGAGUGGCGAACGGGUGAGUAACACGUGAGUAACCUGCCCUUGACUUUGGGAUAACUUCAGGAAACUGGGGCUAAUACCGGAUAGGAGCUCCUGCUGCAUGGUGGGGGUUGGAAAGUUUCGGCGGUUGGGGAUGGACUAGCGGCUUAUCAGCUUGUUGGUGGGGUAGUGGCCUACCAAGGCUUUGACGGGUAGCCGGCCUGAGAGGGUGACCGGCCACAUUGGGACUGAGAUACCGGCCAGAAUCCUACGGGAGGCAGCAGUGGGGAAUAUUGGACAAUGGGCGGAAGGCUGAUGCAGCAAAGCCGCGUGCGGGAUGACGGCCUUCGGGUUGUAAACCGCUUUCGCCUGUGACGAAGCGUGAGUGACGGUAAUGGGUAAAGAAGCACCGGCUAACUACGUG